This 515-nucleotide ribosomal RNA is filed under the name uncultured bacterium. RNAcentral describes it as "bacterial SSU rRNA". It matches the Rfam family "Bacterial small subunit ribosomal RNA", at positions 153 to 663 of the family's 1533-position model. The record is from RNAcentral.
GAAACGGCUGCUAAUACCGCAUAUGUCAACUUCGGUUGGGAAAGAUGGCUUCGGCUAUCGCCAUAGGAUGGGCCCGCGUCCCAUCAGCUAGUUGGUAGGGUAAAGGCCUACCAAGGCAUCGACGGGUAGCUGGUCUGAGAGGAUGAUCAGUCACACUGGAACUGAGACACGGUCCAGACUCCUACGGGAGGCAGCAGUAGGGAAUAUUGCGCAAUGGGCGAAAGCCUGACGCAGCAACGCCGCGUGAGUGAUGAAGGCCUUCGGGUCGUAAAGCUCUGUUGUAGAGGGAAGAACAUAUUGUCGGGUAAUAUUCGGCGGUACUGACGGUACCUCUUCAGAAAGCUCCGGCUAACUCCGUGCCAGCAGCCGCGGUAAUACGGAGGGAGCGAACGUUGUUCGGAAUCACUGGGCGUAAAGCGCAUGUAGGCGGCUUGAUAAGUCAGAUGUGAAAGCCCACGGCUCAACCGUGGAAGUGCAUUUGAAACUGUCAGGAUAGAAUACGGGAGAGGGUUGUA